Molecule: small nuclear RNA, 113 nt
Organism: Gouania willdenowi (blunt-snouted clingfish)
Lineage: Eukaryota; Metazoa; Chordata; Actinopteri; Blenniiformes; Gobiesocidae
Gene: U5
Rfam family: U5 spliceosomal RNA
About the family: U5 RNA is a component of both types of known spliceosome.
Source: Ensembl
AUCUCAUGUUUGUCUUCAGAUCGACUAAAUCGUUCGGCUUUUACUAAAGUUUUCCGUGGAGAGAAACAACAUGAGUAUUUAACAAUUUUCAGAUACCUUGCUAAUGCAGGGCU